This 536-nucleotide long non-coding RNA is filed under the name Homo sapiens (human). RNAcentral describes it as "HSALNT0338536". The record is from RNAcentral. Lineage: Eukaryota; Metazoa; Chordata; Mammalia; Primates; Hominidae.
UGCCCUGUGCCAGGCGAGAGGAAAGCGUUUCACAGGAUUCUGCCUGGGUGAGCCAGAGACUCCCUGGAGAGCGGUCCCGCCGCCCUCCACAGCCAGGGCCGCUCCUCUCUUGUUCUUAGCCCUGUGCACUGUUCCAGCACAGCUGUUCCCAAGCGCACGGCGGCUGCUCCCGCACUUCCACCGAGAAAAAGCUGAGGUCGGCGUAGCCGUGGAGAGGCCAAAAGCUGCUGUGAAGUACCACGAAUGACAGAAACUGGCUUAAGACAACAGAAAUGUAUCCUCCCCCAGUUCUGGAAGCCGGAAGUCUGAGACGAAGGCGUCAGCAGGGCUCUCAUCCAUUCGCCAUGCUGGGUCUGUCACGGCCUGAAUGCUUUCGUCCCCAACGUUCAUAGGAAGAGGCCCCUGAGACUCCAUCACCCCUUCCGCCACGUGAGGGCACAGCGAGAAGGCGCCAUCUGUGAGCCAGGAGCUGUUCUCCCCAGACGUCUAACCUGCCUUCGCCUUGGCCUCCCAGCCUCCAGAACUGUGUGUGUGGC